GACGAACGCUGGCGGCGUGCUUAACACAUGCAAGUCGAACGGAAAGGCCCUGCUUUUGUGGGGUGCUCGAGUGGCGAACGGGUGAGUAACACGUGAGUAACCUGCCCUUGUCUUUGGGAUAUCUUCAGGAAACUGGGGCUAAUACCGGAUAGGAGCUCCUGCUGCAUGGUGUGGGUUGGAAAGUUUCGGCGGUUGGGGAUGGACUCGCGGCUUAUCAGCUUGUUGGUGGGGUAGUGGCUUACCAAGGGUUUGACGGGUAGCCGGCCUGAGAGGGUGACCGGCCACAUUGGGACUGAGAUACGGCCCAGACUCCUACGGGAGGCAGCAGUGGGGAAUAUUGCACAAUGGGCGGAAGCCUGAUGCAGCAACGCCGCGUGCGGGAUGACGGCCUUCGGGAUGUAAACCGCUUUCGCCUGUGACGAAGCGUGAGUGACGGUAAUGGGUAAAGAAGCACCGGCUAACUACGUG
RNAcentral lists this ribosomal RNA (468 nucleotides) under uncultured bacterium. RNAcentral describes it as "partial 16S ribosomal RNA". It matches the Rfam family "Bacterial small subunit ribosomal RNA", at positions 28 to 507 of the family's 1533-position model. The record is from RNAcentral.